This 447-nucleotide ribosomal RNA is filed under the name uncultured bacterium. RNAcentral's name for it is "partial 16S ribosomal RNA". It matches the Rfam family "Bacterial small subunit ribosomal RNA", at positions 29 to 523 of the family's 1533-position model. The record is from RNAcentral.
AGCGAACGCCGGCGGCAGGCUUAACACAUGCAAGUCGAACGCCCCGCAAGGGGAGUGGCAGACGGGUGAGUAACACGUGGGAACGUACCCUUUGGUUCGGAAUAACUUGGGGAAACUCAAGCUAAUACCGGAUAAGCCCUUAUGGGGAAAGGUUUACUGCCGAAGGAUCGGCCCGCGUCUGAUUAGCUAGUUGGUGAGGUUAUGGCUCACCAAGGCGACGAUCAGUAGCUGGCCUGAGAGGAUGAUCAGCCACACUGGGACUGAGACACGGCCCAGACUCCUACGGGAGGCAGCAGUGGGGAAUAUUGGACAAUGGGGGCAACCCUGAUCCAGCCAUGCCGCGUGAGUGAUGAAGGCCUUAGGGUUGUAAAGCUCUUUUACCCGGGACGAUAAUGACUGUACCGGGAGAAUAAGCCCCGGCUAACUUCGUGCCAGCAGCCGCCGUAA